AUUCCUUGUCGGGUAAGUUCCGACCUGCACGAAUGGCGUAACGAUGGCCACACUGUCUCCUCCUGGGACUCAGCGAAGUUGAAAUGUUUGUGAAGAUGCAAUCUCCCCGCGGCUAGACGGAAAGACCCCGUGCACCUUUACUGUAGCUUUACAUUGGACUUUGAUAACACUUGUGUAGGAUAGGUGGGAGGCUUUGAAGUGGAUUCGCUAGAAUUCAUGGAGCCAUCCUUGAAAUACCACCUGGUGUUGUUGAGGUUCUAACCUAAAUCCAUUAUCUGGAUUGGGGACCGUGUAUGGUAGGCAGUUUGACUGGGGCGGUCUCCUCCCAAAUUGUAACGGAGGAGUACGAAGGUACGCUAGGUACGGUCGGAAAUCGUGCUGAUAGUGCAAUGGCAAAAAGCGUGCUUAACUGCGAGACUGACAAGUCGAGCAGGUGCGAAAGCAGGUCAUAGUGAUCCGGUGGUUCUGUAUGGAAGGGCCAUCGCUCAACGGAUAAAAAGGUACGCCGGGGAUAACAGGCUGAUUCCU
Molecule: ribosomal RNA, 528 nt
Filed under: uncultured bacterium
Lineage: Bacteria
Description: bacterial LSU rRNA
Rfam family: Bacterial large subunit ribosomal RNA
Source: RNAcentral